CUACGGGCGGCAGCAGUGGGGAAUAUUGGACAAUGGGCGAAAGCCUGAUCCAGCCAUGCCGCGUGUGUGAAGAAGGCCUUCGGGUUGUAAAGCACUUUCAGUGGGGAAGAAAGCCUUGGGGCUAAUACCCUCGAGGAAGGACAUCACCCACAGAAGAAGCACCGGCUAACUCCGUGCCAGCAGCCGCGGUAAUACGGAGGGUGCGAGCGUUAAUCGGAAUUACUGGGCGUAAAGCGCGCGUAGGCGGUCUGAUAAGCCGGUUGUGAAAGCCCCGGGCUCAACCUGGGAACGGCAUCCGGAACUGUCAGGCUAGAGUGCAGGAGAGGAAGGUAGAAUUCCCGGUGUAGCGGUGAAAUGCGUAGAGAUCGGGAGGAAUACCAGUGGCGAAGGCGGCCUUCUGGACUGACACUGACGCUGAGGUGCGAAAGCGUGGGUAGCAAACAGGAUUAGAUACCCCCGUAGG
This 463-nucleotide ribosomal RNA is filed under the name Vreelandella stevensii. Its description in RNAcentral is "partial 16S ribosomal RNA". It matches the Rfam family "Bacterial small subunit ribosomal RNA", at positions 339 to 794 of the family's 1533-position model. The record is from RNAcentral. Lineage: Bacteria; Pseudomonadati; Pseudomonadota; Gammaproteobacteria; Oceanospirillales; Halomonadaceae.